This 413-nucleotide unclassified non-coding RNA is filed under the name soil metagenome. Its description in RNAcentral is "partial contains 5.8S ribosomal RNA, internal transcribed spacer 2, and large subunit ribosomal RNA". The stretch from base 1 to 120 matches the Rfam family "5.8S ribosomal RNA", at positions 35 to 154 of the family's 154-position model. The record is from RNAcentral.
GAUGAAGAACGCAGCGAAAUGCGAUAAGUAAUGUGAAUUGCAGAAUUCAGUGAAUCAUCGAAUCUUUGAACGCACCUUGCGCUCUUUGGUAUUCCGAAGAGCAUGCCUGUUUGAGUGUCAUGAAAAUAUCAACCUUGACUUGGGUUUUGUGCUCUACUCUCGGCUUGGAAUUGGGUGCUUGCCGCUUUUACGAGCGGCUCACCUUAAAUGUAUUAGCUGGAUCUGUCUUUGAGACUUGGUUUGACUUGGCGUAAUAAGUAUUUCGCUAAGGACAUUCUUCGGAGUGGCCUCGUUUCUAGGACGCUUGUCCGCUUUCCAAUACAAGUUCCACCUCGUGGACAUGACUUUUUAUUAUCUGGCCUCAAAUCAGGUAGGACUACCCGCUGAACUUAAGCAUAUCAAUAAGCGGAGGA